AGAGAGAGGGAAGAAGAAGGAGAAGCAAGGUAUAACAUCUUAGUUUUAUUUUUCGGGGGCAUUAGGGGACUGCUAUAUCAAGUUAGGAGAAGCAUAAUUGUCAUGUCUGCCAUUGUUAAUCUAGACCCAAUUCCUUAAUUUCUUUCUUUGUGAAGAAAAUUCAAGUUCAAUAGACCUUUCUUAUAGACAGAUAAAUAACCGG
Molecule: unclassified non-coding RNA, 202 nt
Filed under: Hevea brasiliensis (rubber tree)
Lineage: Eukaryota; Viridiplantae; Streptophyta; Magnoliopsida; Malpighiales; Euphorbiaceae
Source: RNAcentral